This 423-nucleotide ribosomal RNA is filed under the name uncultured bacterium. RNAcentral describes it as "bacterial SSU rRNA". It matches the Rfam family "Bacterial small subunit ribosomal RNA", at positions 917 to 1338 of the family's 1533-position model. The record is from RNAcentral.
GGACCCGCACAAGUAGUGGAGCAUGUGGUUUAAUUCGAAGAUACGCGCAGAACCUUACCAACACUUGACAUGUUCGUCGCGACUUUAAGAGAUUAAAGUUUUCGGUUCGGCCGGACGAAACACAGGUGCUGCAUGGCUGUCGUCAGCUCGUGUCGUGAGAUGUUGGGUUAAGUCCCGCAACGAGCGCAACCCUCACUUUUAGUUGCCAUCAUUAAGUUGGGCACUCUGAAAGAACUGCCAGUGAUAAGCUGGAGGAAGGUGGGGAUGACGUCAAGUCCUCAUGGCCCUUACGUGUUGGGCUACACACGUGCUACAAUGGUAUCUACAACAGGAAGCAAGACUGCGAAGUUAAGCAAAUCCCUAAAAGAUACCUCAGUUCGGAUCGGAGUCUGCAACUCGACUCCGUGAAGUUGGAAUCGCUAG